Molecule: ribosomal RNA, 472 nt
Filed under: uncultured bacterium
Lineage: Bacteria
Description: bacterial SSU rRNA
Rfam family: Bacterial small subunit ribosomal RNA
Source: RNAcentral
UGGGGAAUUUUGGACAAUGGGGGCAACCCUGAUCCAGCAAUGCCGCGUGAGUGAGGAAGGCCUUCGGGUUGUAAAGCUCUUUUGUCAGGGAAGAAACGGUAGUAGCGAAUAACUAUUACUAAUGACGGUACCUGAAGAAUAAGCACCGGCUAACUACGUGCCAGCAGCCGCGGUAAUACGUAGGGUGCAAGCGUUAAUCGGAAUUACUGGGCGUAAAGCGUGCGCAGGCGGUUGUGUAAGUCAGAUGUGAAAUCCCCGGGCUCAACCUGGGAAUUGCAUUUGAGACUGCACGGCUAGAGUGUGUCAGAGGGGGGUAGAAUUCCACGUGUAGCAGUGAAAUGCGUAGAUAUGUGGAGGAAUACCGAUGGCGAAGGCAGCCCCCUGGGAUAACACUGACGCUCAUGCACGAAAGCGUGGGGAGCAAACAGGAUUAGAUACCCAAGUAGUCCCUGAGCGGGCUGGCAAGGCGCAU